Molecule: long non-coding RNA, 232 nt
Filed under: Medicago truncatula (barrel medic)
Lineage: Eukaryota; Viridiplantae; Streptophyta; Magnoliopsida; Fabales; Fabaceae
Description: long non-coding RNA (MTRU_LNC000256)
Source: RNAcentral
ACCAAUGAAAAACAAAGAUGUGUGGAGCAAGAGAUAGUGGUAAUCUAUGAGCAAAAUGGUUUCCAAGCAACAACAACAAAACAGCCCUAGACUAGUGUAGAGCAAAACCACACAAAGAGAUAACAAAGCAUAAACAAGAUAAGCAAGAAAGGAAGAACAAAACACCAAGAAGAUUGUUGACCCAGUUCAGCCAAUAUGGCCUAAUCUGGGGGAGAGAGCAGCUCUCCAAUCC